AAAAAAGCAACGAAAAGCAGGAGUAGAUGAUUUUCCUCGUUAAGAGAGCUUCUAAUUGGUGAGAAGAAGCCUUGGGAGAUUGUCGAAAGUAGGCUUUGAGCUGUAGAUGCGAAUGAUUCAUUGAGUGUCUACUGGAUGCCACCAUUACAAGGCCAACGACUACAAUGACAAGUUGUGUUCGUUAAGAUCGGCUCUUUUGAGUUCGAUAAAAUCAAGGUGGUACCGUGCGUUAAAACGCGCCCUUCGA
This 247-nucleotide non-coding RNA is filed under the name Lentilactobacillus farraginis. Its description in RNAcentral is "Lactobacillus farraginis T-box sequence". It matches the Rfam family "T-box leader". From Rfam's summary of the family: Uncharged tRNA acts as the effector for transcription antitermination of genes in the T-box leader family. T-boxes are found upstream of many aminoacyl-tRNA synthetase genes and some amino acid biosynthetic genes usually in Gram-positive bacteria. Lineage: Bacteria; Bacillati; Bacillota; Bacilli; Lactobacillales; Lactobacillaceae. The record is from RNAcentral.